RNAcentral lists this unclassified non-coding RNA (1662 nucleotides) under Drosophila ananassae. Its description in RNAcentral is "GF12289". Lineage: Eukaryota; Metazoa; Arthropoda; Insecta; Diptera; Drosophilidae. The record is from RNAcentral.
AGCAGCUGUCAGUAAUGAAAAUUUAACCAAGUUGGGCAAACACAAAUAUGAAAUUAUCCGUUUUGUUUAUCACGAUGCAGUUGCUAACGCUGCUGCGGGUCGUAGUCCUUGCGACGGAGGUUGCCAGUACAUUGCAGGAGGUGCUUGCGAGUGACCAGCAGGACAUUCCCCCCUACACCACAGCAUGCAUACAGAAAUGCAUCGGCAAUAAUUUCCCCACAUUCGAGGAUCUGAGGGCAGCGGAGUGUUCGCUCUUCAUGCGCGAUUUCGACUGCACCCUCUACUGCACGUUCAAUGGAAAAGGAUAAGGCUUGUUUUACACGAAAACUUUUGGCAAAACCAUAACAGAUGACAGAGAUGAAUCCGGGAGAGGCGGACUCGGUGGAGGCUGGAGGCAAGUCUCUAGAAUCAGAGGAGAAACCAUCCGGAGAACCCGAAGCAGACUCCAAGAAAGUGGAGGACUCAGAUCCUGGCACUCCAGCUGCCAUCCCUCCGUCCAGACAGCGUACUUUAACACGCACCGCCGAACUGGAUGCCGAUGGCGACGACAUGGAUCUGCUGGAUCCGGAUGCGGACGAUGCCGCUGACAGCAUCACCCUGGAACUGGCACUGUCGCCGCACAGCAGCACUCCCACUCCACCGCCCACCAUCGCCGAGGAGGACUUUGCCCAGUUGGAUAACAGUAAGCCCUUCAAGAUCAAGGACAUCACACGGAAUAUUCGCAAGGCUGUGGUGGCCAACACGCUGUCGGAGCUGCGUAUGAAGGUGUCAGCGAAAUUUCAACGUGUUCAGCCGACGAUACACCUGGAUUGCGAUGGCACCGAAAUCGACGACGAGGAGUACUUCAGCACUCUGGAGCCAAAUGCCGAACUGAUUGCCGUCUUUCCCGGCGAGCAGUGGCGCGACCCGAGUGACUAUAAUGCCAAUUUGCGUCGCACUUCUUUGGAUGCUCAGAGAUUGCGGAAGCUGGUGAGCAAACUGCAACCGAACUAUAUCAACGACGAUGACCUGGACAAGCUGUCGAACAUGGAUCCGAACUCUCUGGUGGACAUCACAGGACGCGAGCCAAAGGACAACGAAUACUCGUCCAGGAGCGAUGCUGCCCGCAGAUCCACAGAGCUGUCCUGUUAAGGAUUUUUUGUUUUGUCAUUUUUCGGGAAAUGAUAGAAAGGAUAGUUGCCUAGGGAGGGUCGCCUUUGACGGAUGUAUGUAAAUAGGGAAUUUGUACGAGUUUAUAUGCCGAGCAAGCCGACAUCUAAGAUGACGGGUAUUUUUGGAAAAAGUUUUGAUCAAUUGAAGCGGACUUGAAGCGACCGAUUUGGAUUUGGAUGGUUUUAUCUCCCUAUACGUAUGUAGAUCCAAAAGUUGUGUAUUUUUCGAGCUCACAUUGUCACCAAUAGCUAUAUAUACAACAUGAAACUGAGGAGCCUCUAAGGCAGCAAUCUAUUAGAAUCUUACCUACCUACCUAUCCCAACCUCACUGAGUGGACGGACGAUCAACGAACUUUAGAUGCAAAUAGUUAUACGUAUUCUCUCCAUUUAGAAAUAUUUGGUCAGUUAGGGGGUUACUAGGGAGCAAAAAAUAAAACAAUUUAUUGCAAUUGAAUCUCAAUUAAAUCAAUUAACAAUUGAAUAAACCUUCACACCCGGCACACUAUUUAU